ACGCGCAGAACCUUACCUACUCUUGACAUCCCGUGAUCGCUGCAGAGAUGUAGUUUUCCCUUCGGGGACACGGUGACAGGUGCUGCAUGGCUGUCGUCAGCUCGUGUUGUGAAAUGUUCGGUUAAGUCCGGCAACGAGCGCAACCCCUGUCCUUAGUUGCCAGCAUUAAGUUGGGUACUCUAGGGAGACUGCCGGUGUUAAACCGGAGGAAGGCGGGGAUGACGUCAAGUCCUCAUGGCCCUUACGAGUAGGGCUACACACGUACUACAAUGGCAGAAACAGAGGGAAGCAAGACCGCGAGAUGGAGCCAAUCUCAAAAACACUGUCUCAGUCCGGAUUGGAGUCUGCAACUCGACUCCAUGAAGUUGGAAUCGCUAGUAAUCGCAGAUCAGCACGCUGCGGUGAAUACGUUCCCGGGCCUUGUACACACCGCCCGUCACACCACGAAAGAGGUCACAACCGUAAGCAGGUGAGCUAACCGCAAGGAGGCAGCCUACCAAGGUUGAGGUCUUGACUGGGGUGAAGUCGUAACAAGGUAACCAAGGGCGAA
Molecule: ribosomal RNA, 550 nt
Filed under: uncultured bacterium
Lineage: Bacteria
Description: bacterial SSU rRNA
Rfam family: Bacterial small subunit ribosomal RNA
Source: RNAcentral